This is a long non-coding RNA of Ictalurus punctatus (channel catfish), 439 nucleotides long. The record is from Ensembl. NCBI's taxonomy places the organism in Eukaryota, Metazoa, Chordata, Actinopteri, Siluriformes, Ictaluridae.
CAGAGGAUAAACCCCGACUCCAACAUCAUCACUGAAUACGCUAACUCGGUGAAGUACGAAGUCUCGAGUGAGCCACGGACUGAUGGACUCCUGACCGAAGAAGUGGAUCUAAAUGAACCCUACCCAGUUUUACUAAAUGAAACAGAAGAUAGCGGAACUCUCUGGAACGCCACCGGGUACAAUAAAACCGAUCUGAUCAGAACAGAGAGCAGGAUUGAAGUAGAAGAAGAAGAAGGAGAGGCUCUGCUCGAAGCCUUCACAGAAGCACCAUCUAUUUUCAUUACUCAGAUUGACACCUCUUCAGACACGAUGGGUACAACAAAAGCAGAGGUAAGUAUGUUGGAUGUCCUCCACAGUCAGGAGAACGCAGUAAAGAAGAUGUCCGGGGAGAAGAAGAAGGGCCGAGAGAGAGGAAAGGGUAAAGGGAAUAAAGGACGAC